This is a non-coding RNA of Nerophis lumbriciformis (worm pipefish), 141 nucleotides long. The record is from RefSeq and is a predicted model, not a curated record. NCBI's taxonomy places the organism in Eukaryota, Metazoa, Chordata, Actinopteri, Syngnathiformes, Syngnathidae.
UGUAUGGUGAUGAAACCCAUGCGUGUCAACUGACCCUGGCAGCGCCCCGACGUGUCGAGGCCCAAGUCGGCGUUUUGCCGGCUGGGGUCGCCGGUUCGUCGGGGAUCCGGGGACGUGAUCAGACUCACUUUUCUGAAUACA